UGGAUCACCUCCUAACAGGGAGACAAACAACGAUUUUGAUGUCUGGGUUUUUUUAUUCUUAGGCCAAAAUCCUGUCACCUUAGGUCGAUCGGUACCUCAACUUUGAAGUUAAGAGAAUUCAGAAAUGGAUUUCUGCUUAGUGGAGAUUUUUAGUUCCUAAACUUUGUCUAGUUCACAACCCAUUAGGGAUGAGACUCCUGGGCCAUUAGCUCAGGUGGUUAGAGCGCACCCCUGAUAAGGGUGAGGUCCCUGGUUCAAGUCCAGGAUGGCCCAUUCGGUCUAGGGGGUUUAGCUCAGUUGGUAGAGCGCCUGCUUUGCAAGCAGGAUGUCAGGAGUUCGAGUCUCCUAACCUCCACUGACUACCAAUAAUCCCCAUCUCCAAAACCUGGAGUAUGAACUCGUAUGGAUUGUGAUUUAGAUGUGUCCGCUAGAUGAUCCUAGCUUCUUGUCAUUUUAAGAUAUGGAAACAAUUCCAUGAUUUGAUUGAUAGGAUGCUGGGCUCGAUGCAAUGUAUUGAGAGAUCAAUGCAUUGUUUUGAUGUCUGGUCGAACCUUGACAACUGCAUAGUAAGUCUGGAAAAACAAAGCAUCUUACAGAUGCAUUGUUUUAAGUCUGAAUUCUCGAAAGAGAGUUUAGAUCUAGAACGAUGAAAAUUCUUUUAAGCAAGAGCCGAGACUCUUAGAUGUUCUUUUUAUCGUGUCGAGCGAUAAAGAGUUUGAUUUUGUUUUUAUGAGCAGCGAAAGUUGCUGAUGAAACCAGGAGAAUCUGCUUUCAACCGCAGUAAGCGUUUAAGAGGUUAAUUGGUCAAGCUACAAAGGGCUCACGGCGGAUACCUUGGCACACAGAGGCGAUGAACGG
Molecule: transfer RNA, 858 nt
Filed under: uncultured Synechococcus sp.
Lineage: Bacteria; Bacillati; Cyanobacteriota; Cyanophyceae; Synechococcales; Synechococcaceae
Description: partial contains 16S ribosomal RNA, 16S-23S ribosomal RNA intergenic spacer, and 23S ribosomal RNA
Rfam family: tRNA (bases 283-355)
Source: RNAcentral